UGUGUUGAUUGUUUUGCUUAUUCGCUUU
This 28-nucleotide non-coding RNA is filed under the name Rattus norvegicus (Norway rat). The record is from RNAcentral. Lineage: Eukaryota; Metazoa; Chordata; Mammalia; Rodentia; Muridae.